UCCCUUGCCAAGGCAGCCGGCAGGCCGCCAACCAUCUCCCCUGCUCCCAUUUCCCACAGAAAGACUGGGUGAGGUCAGGGGAGGGCGGUGAGUCAGAGCUAAAGAACUUCCCGCGGGGGACAAAGGUCGGGAGGGUGGCACUCCUCAAAAUUCCGGGGGCGGGCAGAUUGGGCUGCUCCUCCUCCUAGGCACUGCUUAAGCCCUCCUGGUCCUGCAGACACACCUCUCACCACCAUGGAGUUUGACCUGUCGGCAGCCCUGGACUCCACUCCCAAGAAGCCGGAGGGGCAGGCCAGGUGGGAGACCCCAAGCACAGUCCCCCCAAAGCUCAGGGCGGGCCAGAGGCAGGCGCAGCUCAGAACCUAAGGCAUGGCCACGGCAGCUCCUCAGACUCUAGCAGCAGCAGCAGCAGCUCCAGCGACUCGGAGGCGGAGGGCAAGCCCCAUGCUGCCGGCUGCAAGCAGCGUGAACGCGCCGCGGACAAGGCCAAGAAGCCCAAGGUGAAAAAGGAGAAGAAGAAGGGCAAGGAGGCGCCCCACUGACAGCGGGCGG
Non-coding RNA from Castor canadensis (American beaver), 552 nucleotides. NCBI's taxonomy places the organism in Eukaryota, Metazoa, Chordata, Mammalia, Rodentia, Castoridae. The record is from RefSeq and is a predicted model, not a curated record.